Zingiber officinale is the source of this 349-nucleotide long non-coding RNA. RefSeq lists it as uncharacterized. The record is from RefSeq and is a predicted model, not a curated record. The transcript has 3 exons. Lineage: Eukaryota; Viridiplantae; Streptophyta; Magnoliopsida; Zingiberales; Zingiberaceae.
CAAGGAAUGUAGCCCUAGCGGCUGCCCUAUCUCAAUAAUAAGAGCUGCAACCCUUCUCUUCCUCUUCUAGGGCUUUCUUUCCACAACAAGAGCAGUAGCCUCUCCGUCUCCCUCUCCUCUUCUCAAGAGCGAGACCUUGUUGCCCUCUUUCAACCAUAGCAACCGCCGAAACUCACCGGAGCUCCGCCUGAGCUAACCGAGGCUAACAAAAAAGAGAGAAAGGUUUGAUUUACUUGGGUGUUUCAUAUCAAUGAAACACCUCCGUUGUUUUAUCGGUUGAAGAAAUAUUACGAGAUACAGGAAAGGAAAAGAUAUAGAAAGGAAGACGACAAGGAGGUGUUCGAAGGAU